GGCAGUGUUGCCUAGAGGAGAGGGCACUAGAGUGGGAUUCAGGAGACCUGGGUUUUAUUCCUGGCUCUGCCA
Molecule: non-coding RNA, 72 nt
Organism: Chelonia mydas (Green sea turtle)
Lineage: Eukaryota; Metazoa; Chordata; Testudines; Cheloniidae
Source: Rfam